Molecule: non-coding RNA, 4628 nt
Organism: Neolamprologus brichardi
Lineage: Eukaryota; Metazoa; Chordata; Actinopteri; Cichliformes; Cichlidae
Source: RefSeq, a predicted model, not a curated record
AUCUGAAGAAUAAUUUUCUUUAUUUUUAUAUAAACACAUUUUUUAACCUUAUUUCUCAGACCAUGAUUUGCAGCCAUGGCUAAAAAGAAGUUCAUCAUCUAUCAUUUCUAUGGUUAGCAGGAUCAUAAUUUAAAAAAAAACGUAUAGUUCUUUUCAGGUCUAAAACUUAAAUAACCCUAAGGACAUAUUAACACAUGACAUAAUACAAUGUUAUUUAACAAAAAAGACGCCAGAAUGCAGAGGCACUUUGGAAUUUUGGCCCACUCUUCUUUACACGCCACAGGAUUUCAGUCAGGUUGAGGUCUGGGAUUUCUGUUGUAGAUUCACUUACUGUUGCAUGACCCAGUUUUGGCCAAGCUUUAGCUGUCGGAUAGGUGACCUCACAUAAUUGACUCUAGAGUACUUUGGUAUACAAACAAAACAAGCCCAAGUCAUCACUCCUCUUCCACCGUGCUUUUUAACAGUUUAAGGUAUGAGACGUUUGAGUUAAUCUUAUCGUAUUUGCUUUUUGCCAAAUGUGGUCCAUUUUAGUCUCAUCUGUUCAAAGGGCAUCGUUCAAGAAGUCUUGUGGGUUGCACACAUGCAACUUCGCAAACCUAAGCUGUCCGCCAUGGUCUUUUAAAAGCAGAGGGCUUCCUCUGGCAAGCCUUCUAAACAAACUUUAUGUGCGGCAUAAAGUCUCCUUGGCAUUGAACCAGCUCAUACCUGAGUGCUCCAGACCAGAAAACUGUCAAAGCAUCUGCUUUUAUAGAGGAGCUUAGGAAUAAAAAGCAAGGACUUAGUUUUUCCACUCACUUCUUCUACAUUAAGGCUUACGUUUUGUUAAAUAAAUAAUGAUAUGGUGUAUCAUGUCAUCUGUUGUUGUUCAUCUCCAGAUGUGCUUACCUCAUCUUAAGACCUGCGAUGGACAGAUUUAAUAUAUUAUGUCCUAAUGUGCAAAACCUUAGUACAACACAGGGGUUGUACAGUCAUUUUACAAUGACUGUGUAUACACUCUGUGUUUAAAACACAGUUUUAAUUAAAACCUAAAGUGAGGUUAAUGAUUGGAUUUGCAUUAAAUAGAUUACUGGCAAAAGACUACAAGAUCUACUAAAUAUGGGCUAACGCGACAUCCCUAACCACUUCAUAGGGCCAGGAUACCCAGUUCCCUAAUCUGACAGAACAAACAAAGAGAAAACUUAGUUAAUGAUCGGUAACUGACUUCACUAACUUCGAGUUUCUUCACUCGCAGCCAUUAGAAAACAAAGUAUGAUGACCUAGUUCACACCAUUCUCACACAAUAGCUUUCAUGCAGCCAACAGCCACAGACUUCACUGAAGGCUAAUUGCUUCUAAAUUUGCAUGCUGAUAUGCCAGUUAAAUUACUUCUGGCAGAGAAGUCUUUGGCAGUCUCGUGUUUUAACAAGGUCUCUCUUUUUACCACAGAAACAAGUUGACAGGGUGGUUAGAGCAGAGUGAUGUCUGGUGAAUAUGUGGCGGAUCACAAACCUGUCCUUUUUUUGGCGAGCCUUAGCUUUACUAGCUUAACGAGCCAAAGGCUAAAAACUAAAGUGAAAAAACAUUUGAGACUGGAGUAGGACAUGUAGAACUACUGUGCCUCAGAGGAGGGAUAGCUUUAUUUAUUUAUUUGUUCACUUGUAGGUUAACUUCUCUAUACAGGAUAAUUUAUGUUGUUGUUAACUUAAACAGCUUCUAUGCCGAUGAGCUGCAUCUCCGAUUAGCCAUCUUACUUGUGGAGAAUUUGCUCAGAUGCAGUGGUCAAACUUCAUGAAAGGAAGUAUAGAGACUUGCACUUCUGGUUUGAUUCCAGGAUACGAGGGUGCGUGCCAAAUUCUUGGUUUCCAUGUUACCGCUUUUCACCUCACGUUAAUAACCCCAGUGUCUGAAUUUGAAUGGUGUUCAUGAGAACCUCUGCUUCCUCUGAAUAGCCUGUAUUUUUCCCCUCAUUGAUGCUAUGGCGUCAUGUUCCAGAGAACAGAUAUCACACAGAUAAAAAUUAAGCUUCCAGUUUAUCAGACCUUGAGUGUAAAAUAUGCAUAAACCAUCACAGAAUCUCAGGUCGCAUAUUUUACUUAUGCAGAUAACUUUGAGUCUUUAUGAAUGACUGUACUGUUGGUCACUGGGUGAUGUUUCCUGGUGUGUCAUUUGGAUUGUGGUAGUUGUUCUUUUUCCUGCAGGGCUCUAGUUAACAAGCAAAGCAAGCAGCAGUCAGUGAGCUCUCUUUUAAAGUAUCUACUGUAUGCAUUCACCAAAUGUAUUGCCGUGCAGAAUCCUUUAUUCUGAAACACAAUCAAAUGUAACAACUGAAAAAUAAUAUGUAAAAUAAUAAUAUUACACUGUGGUAGCCUGACAGGAGCUUUUUGGGUAUAUCUGAUGGUAGCUUUCUAACUUCUUAUCUUUAAACAAUAAGAAUAACUUGAUACCUGAACUUACCUUUGGGUUAUUUAGCUCUAGAUACUGUUACAAAUAUUAACAAUGGUGCAGAACUUUAGCUAACAAUGUGUUGCCUCAUCUCUGUCUUUUAAAUUGCUGCACAUAUUCUGUUGUUUUAAAUAAUGCAGUUGCUCUCAGAUUUGAGGUCCUUUGUGUGAAAAGUGAAAGGAAAAUUAGAAUUUUGUAAACAAACUAGAAUACAUUUUCAUGAUUUUGUCACUUGUGAAGACUGCCUGGGUCUGGGACACAUAGUGUGUUGAAUAUCUUACCGCAUAGACAAUGUUUUGUGGCUUUAAUCAUUAUUAUCCGGUUACUGAUGUGGUUUCCAUGGGAUUCGACUGAGAUCUUCAGAUAAUAGUGACUCAUACAGGUGAAGGAAUAUAAACCGAGGAUAAUUUUCUCUCCUGUGGGGAAAAGAGGUUAAACCACGUGAGACAAGUAAUACCCUCUGCUGAGGCAGGAAUAUAUGUGCAUCUACAAGUCAUAAAAUAUUCAGUAAUUGCAAAUUAAAUUUUCACCACACCUUGUGGAAAAAGCCACUUUCAUAUAAAUCCAGUUGAAAAACAAAACCUCACACACCCUCAGAGUUCUUUGUCCUCAAGACAUUGAGAGAUUAGCACGAGGCAGGCCUUAUCCCUUGUGUAUUUUUCUAUUUCUAAUAUCCAGAGUAACGCAUAUUGUAUUAACAGGUGUGUCUCAUUUCCUAAGGGCUGCAAUUCAAGUAAAUAAUACUUUCAUAUAAAUCCAAUUGGACACAAAACCUCAGUGGUGUUUUAAGUGGUACAGAUUUAGGCUGAAUUGAACUGGUGUUGGACUCUAACGCUGCAUGUAACUUCUGUAAUUGUUGUAAAAGCAAGGGAGAGCAGCAGCUCGACCUCUGUUAUCUCUUUCUGCAAUAUACUUAUGUCAUCACCGCACCGCUCGCUCGCCUGCAAAGACAUGGCACAUUACAUUUUCAUUCAUCUUGUCAUCGAAGUGUUUCUGCAAAGCAUAUUUACAUCUCGGUAUUUGCGAAAGAGACGUGAUAUUUUCUGACAUUUGACAGGAGCUUAAACGCCCCCAUCUGUACCCAGUGUAUGGAUUUUCAUUUUGACUGAAUUCAGUUCUGCGACAUUGUAUGUUUAGAGGUUGUUAGUAAAUCCUUAUUUAAAAGUCUUGAAAGUAAAUCUGUGUGUUUAAGGUUGUAAUCUGCGCCCCUGUUUGUAUUGCCCAUAAAGUAAUCCUUGUUCUGACAGUUUCUCAAGUUCAACCAAAGAUAAGGCUUCGGUGGGCUAACAACAUACGAGUUUUCUUGUGAAAUUUCCACUUUAUCGUUCAGUAUCUUUUUGUUAGAGGAGUAAAGAACACAAAGAGGACACUGCAACAUAAGAUUAGAGAAAGAAGCGCACGAUCCCUCCAGCCCUUUAGCUUGGCCCUACCUUAAGGACUCUAAUCUCCAUUACUUUAGCAGGGAUUUCUUCAGGGCAAGCAUGGACUGGACGAAAUAAUUGUAGGGACUGAUUCCUCUUAACAUAUAUGAAUAGUGUUCAGAGGCAGGCGUUUAACAAAGGUGAACGUGAUCUUUUUUGCACUGUUUGGAAGUGUGAAAAUGUCUCUUUCUGUAACUAUUGCUUGAUGAAUGUCUCUCAUCAUUAGUGAACAUUGUGUUACCUCAGCAACUGAUCCAUCCGCUGUUUUUUUUGUUUUUGUUUUUUUAAUGUUUCUUAUUAGGCCUGGGAGCAGGUUUAUGUGUUUCUAUAGAACGGCAAUGUACAGGAUGUUUUGGAAUAAUGGGAAAGUCCCUGUGCUGCAUACUUACUGAACCGUCUGCAAUAUGUAGAAUUCAUAUGCAUACACGAAAAGACAGUGGUGCUGAUUUUUAUUUUGUGAUUUUGUAUGUGAUAAAUCCAUUGCCGUGCCUAAGUAUCUGUUAUUGGUUUAAUUGGUUAUGCUCGCCAUGAUUUAACGUCUCACAAGUGUCGUCUCGUUAGGAGAAAACAGUGAAAUAGUGAGUUAUGUCUAAAUGCUACACUGCCGAGAGAAUUCACAAUUCAUGUACAUAAUCUGUUUGGUUUUUUUUUGUAUUUAAAACUGGUCUGACGCAUGCAAGACUACAAAAUCACUGAAGCUAAACCUGUGUACAUAUCAUCUGUGUAAAUUCCAAGGUUUUCUUAUAGCGAACAUGCCGAAUCUAAAAAUAAAGUGAAAUUCUUUAGA